Penaeus monodon (black tiger shrimp) is the source of this 288-nucleotide long non-coding RNA. RefSeq lists it as uncharacterized. The record is from RefSeq and is a predicted model, not a curated record. The transcript is spliced from 3 exons. NCBI's taxonomy places the organism in Eukaryota, Metazoa, Arthropoda, Malacostraca, Decapoda, Penaeidae.
UACCCCGAGAUGUCACCCUCCAUUAUGGAUUAACGUCGUCUCUCUCGCACAAGGUUAGCGCCCGCCCGCCCGCCCGCCCCACGACAAGCAGAGAGAGAUGCGCCAUGGCCACUGAGAGCAGCGGCCCAGCAGGAGACGGCGCUCGGGAGGGAAGGACAGCGGGAAUGGUGGUGGCCGGUUUUGGGCAGGAUGAACCAAGACCAGUUUCUGCUGAAGUGGAACAACCACCAGAAUAAUUUUGUCGAAGUGUUUAGCUUUUUACGUACGCAGGAUGCUUUUGUCGACGUU